AUCCGGCUGACGAGCCCCAAAAUAGGACUAAACGCGCGUCAUGGAU
RNAcentral lists this non-coding RNA (46 nucleotides) under Schistosoma mansoni. The record is from RNAcentral. Lineage: Eukaryota; Metazoa; Platyhelminthes; Trematoda; Strigeidida; Schistosomatidae.